This 420-nucleotide long non-coding RNA is filed under the name Mytilus galloprovincialis (Mediterranean mussel). The record is from RNAcentral. Lineage: Eukaryota; Metazoa; Mollusca; Bivalvia; Mytilida; Mytilidae.
GGGGGGGGGCCACUUGCUAUAUAAUUAGUGGUAGGGAUGAGCCGCUGGAAUAGGUCACUUUUUCAUGCUCUACGAUAUAUGAAAAGGGUUAGAAAUUCAGACGAAAUAUAUCAAUAGGUUGUUAUUAUCACUUGCUUGAUUAUAUCAUAAGUAUCUGAAACUAAUCAGAUGUCCGUAUUUAUUUUUGAUGCGGUUAAACCACAGUCGUAAAUGCAUCAGUUAUUUGUCAAACCAAUUAAACUCUAUUUAUUCUGAUGUGGUAUUUCCACUGAUGCCAGUGAUAGAUGCAAUAAAUCCAACUAUUUUGACAUUUGCACCUAAUUAACAUUCAAGGGUUUGUAUACAUAAAACAUGAUAACAAUUAUUUAAAGAAAUUCCAUUGUGACAGCGUCCUUUAAGAGGGAACGGCAAUGAAACUUU